This 419-nucleotide ribosomal RNA is filed under the name uncultured bacterium. Its description in RNAcentral is "bacterial SSU rRNA". It matches the Rfam family "Bacterial small subunit ribosomal RNA", at positions 28 to 495 of the family's 1533-position model. The record is from RNAcentral.
GACGAACGCUGGCGGCAUGCCUAACACAUGCAAGUCGAACGAACCCUUCGGGGUUAGUGGCGCACGGGUGCGUAACGCGUGGGAACCUGCCUUUAGGUUCGGAAUAACUCAGAGAAAUUUGAGCUAAUACCGGAUAAUGUCUUCGGACCAAAGAUUUAUCGCCUUUAGAUGGGCCCGCGUUAGAUUAGAUAGUUGGUGGGGUAAUGGCCUACCAAGUCGACGAUCUAUAGCUGGUCUGAGAGGAUGAUCAGCCACACUGGGACUGAGACACGGCCCAGACUCCUACGGGAGGCAGCAGUGGGGAAUAUUGGACAAUGCGGGAAACCGUGAUCCAGCAAUGCCGCGUGAGUGAUGAAGGCCUUAGGGUUGUAAAGCUCUUUCCAGGGAUGAUAAUGACAGUACCUGGUAAAGAACCCCGG